AUGGCGUUGCACUGGAGCAGCGGCCUCGCGGUCGCCGUCGCGGCGGCGCUGGCCGUGUCCGCGCUCUUCCCGGCGGGCGCUGCGGGUCACCCGCCGCUCCCAGGCCCGUUGGUCCCGCAGUUCUACGAGCACACGUGCCCGCAGAUGCAGGCGUUGGUGGGCGCCAUCGUGGCCAAGGAGCACGCCAAGGAUCCCCGCAUGGCGGCGUCCCUGCUCCGGCUGCACUUCCACGACUGCUUCGUGCAGGGCUGCGACGCGUCGGUGCUGCUCGACGCCGACGGCAGCGGCAGGUUCACCACCGAGAAGCGGUCCAACCCGAACCGCGACUCGCUGAGGGGCUACGAGGUCAUCGACGAGAUCAAGGCCGCCCUCGAGCACGCCUGCCCCCACACCGUCUCCUGCGCCGACAUCGCCGCCGUCGCCGCCAGGGACUCCACCGUGCUGACGGGUGGGCCGGGCUGGGAGGUGCCGCUGGGGAGGAGGGACUCGCUGACCGCCAGCUUGAGUGGCUCCAACAACCUCAUCCCUGCUCCCAACGACACCCUCCCCACCAUCACCGCCAAGUUCCGCAACCAGGGUCUCGACGUCGUCGACCUCGUCGCGCUCUCAGGAGCACACACCAUUGGCGACUCGCGCUGCGUGAGCUUCCGGCAGCGGCUCUACAGCCAGAACAACGACGGGCGCCCGGACCCGACGCUGAACCCGGCCUACGCGGCCAAGCUCCGCGGGCGGUGUCCCCGGUCCGGCGGCGACCAGAUCCUGUUCGCCCUCGACCCCGCCACCCAGUUCCGGUUCGACAACCAGUACUACAAGAACAUCCUCGCCAUGAACGGCCUGCUCAGCUCCGACGAGGUCCUGCUCACGCAGAGCCACGAGACCAUGGAGCUCGUCAAGAGCUACGCCGCCAGCAACGAGCUCUUCUUCGACCACUUCGCCAAGUCCAUGGUCAAGAUGGGCAACAUCUCGCCGCUCACCGGGCACAACGGCGAGAUCAGGAAGAACUGCAGGAGGGUCAACCACUUCUAA
RNAcentral lists this ribosomal RNA (1026 nucleotides) under Triticum aestivum (bread wheat). RNAcentral's name for it is "partial small subunit ribosomal RNA". The record is from RNAcentral. Lineage: Eukaryota; Viridiplantae; Streptophyta; Magnoliopsida; Poales; Poaceae.